CAUACAGACUUAUUCCUCUUCUCUCUUUCUCCAACUUUCAGUCUCUCUUAGCAGACAACCGCCCCUUCUCUCUUUGCUUCUUCUUUCUCUCUUGCGUAUUUCGUCUCAGUGGUUUAGAUUUUUCUCACACAUAACAUCCAAUACUCGGAAACCUAAAAGGAAGCAGCAGCAGCAGCAGCGGCGGCAGAGACCCGACUGCAUAAACUACCGCCCUUUCUUCACUUCGCAUGUUGUCUCGCUACUGCAAUCUUAAGUUGAUUACUACUAGCCUACGGUAUAAAUGGAAUCGGAGCGCUGGGAGAAGCUCCAGUCUUCUGUCAAGAAAUACAUGCGGAGCUUCCUCUAGUUCGCCUUUUGCUCUUGUGGUCAUGAAAAAGGCAUUCAAUCCAGGAAUGGGUGAUUUUGGGAAAACGCAUGGCUCGAGUUGGCGAAUACUCUCCACACUGUGAUUUACAUUUCAUUAUUAACGAUAUGUUUGGAGAUGAGUACGGAGAUGAUAGGCACACUUGUGCUAAGAGAUCCUAUCAAAGAUCUAUCCCCACACUAGCAAUCAUGCCAAAAACUAAUAUGUGACUCAUUUUCCACCUCAAAACGAACAGAAUUACAAAGAUGCGAUGGUGGUGGAUAAUUUGGUCGUUCAUAAUGGAGUUAUUCAAUGAAAUGUUCUUUUUACGAGGCAAAUCCAAGAUUGGGAUAUGGAGAUGGUUUUUUCUUUCUUCGAGCGGCUUUAUGCCUCUUUGAAAAGUAUUUGGUGUGUUAAGGCUCUGACAAGUGACAAUGGUGGCUUUCUUUGUAUAGUCAGCAGCUUGGGGUGUGGUAGUGAUUGAGUGGUGUUGUAUGUGUAAGAAGAAUGAAGAAUUUAUGAAUUAUCUUUUGUUUCACUGUGAAGUUGCCCGUGAUCUUUGGAUUUAUAUUUUUAGUUUAUUUAAGAUAGAGUGGGUUAUGCCACGAACGGUGUUGGGGUUGUCUAGUUGGGGCGCGUCGGUUGGGGAUGGUCGUCCUAAGAAGUUUGGUGGUUAGCUCCAUUGUGUAUAAUUUUUAAUUCUAUUCUCUUCUCGUCUCUUUUAGUA
Long non-coding RNA from Alnus glutinosa, 1070 nucleotides. RefSeq lists it as uncharacterized. Lineage: Eukaryota; Viridiplantae; Streptophyta; Magnoliopsida; Fagales; Betulaceae. The record is from RefSeq and is a predicted model, not a curated record. The transcript is spliced from 4 exons.